This 433-nucleotide ribosomal RNA is filed under the name actinobacterium SCGC AAA001-I13. RNAcentral describes it as "SSU rRNA". It matches the Rfam family "Bacterial small subunit ribosomal RNA", at positions 514 to 1376 of the family's 1533-position model. Lineage: Bacteria; Bacillati; Actinomycetota; Actinomycetes. The record is from RNAcentral.
GCCGCGGUAACACGUAGGGAGCGAGCGUUGUCCGGAUUUAUUGGGCGUAAAGAGCUCGUAGGCGGUUCGGUAAGUCAGGUGUGAAAGCUCGAGGCUCAACCUCGAGAAGCCAUCUGAUACUGCUGUGACUUGAGUCCGGUAGGGGAGUGUGGAAUUCCUGGUGUAGCGGUGAAAUGCGCAGAUAUCAGGAGGAACACCUACAGCGAAGGCAGCACUCUGGGCCGGUACUGACGCUGAGGAGCGAAAGCGUGGGGAGCGAACAGGAUUAGAUACCCUGGUAGUCCACGCCGUAAACGUUGGGCACUAGGUGUGGGGUCGAACUAACCGAUUCCGUGCCGUAGCUAACGCAUUAAGUGCCCCGCCUGGGGAGUACGGCCGCAAGGCUAAAACUCAAAGGAAUUGGCGGGGGAGCACGGUCAUACUUGUUUUCCUG